This 468-nucleotide ribosomal RNA is filed under the name uncultured bacterium. RNAcentral describes it as "partial 16S ribosomal RNA". It matches the Rfam family "Bacterial small subunit ribosomal RNA", at positions 28 to 507 of the family's 1533-position model. The record is from RNAcentral.
GACGAACGCUGGCGGCGUGCUUAACACAUGCCAGUCGAACGGAAAGGCCCUGCUUUUGUGGGGUGCUCGAGUGGCGAACGGGUGAGUAACACGUGAGUAACCUGCCCUUGACUUUGGGAUAACUUCAGGAAACUGGGGCUAAUACCGGAUAGGAGCUCCUGCUGCAUGGUGGGGGUUGGAAAGUUUCGGCGGUUGGGGAUGGACUCGCGGCUUAUCAGCUUGUUGUUGGGGUAGUGGCUUACCAAGGCUUUGACGGGUAGCCGGCCUGAGAGGGUGACCGGCCACAUUGGGACUGAGAUACGGCGAAGACUCCUACGGGAGGCAGCAGUGGGGAAUAUUGCACAAUGGGCGGAAGCCUGAUGCAGCAACGCCGCGUGCGGGAUGACGGCCUUCGGGUUGUAAACCGCUUUCGCCUGUGACGAAGCGUGAGUGACGGUAAUGGGUAAAGAAGCACCGGCUAACUACGUG